GAAACUUAUCGCGCUUCAAAGCUUGCACGUCAGUGAUAAUUGCUAGUUAAACGCCACAAACAACAUAUUUUCAUUCACCUUUUAGACGAUUGUCCAAAUUUCAUCAACUGUUCUAAAGUUUAUAUUUGAGCGAGAGUAAAUUAAAGAACUGUGAUUGCUAUACAGGGGUCAACCUUGUACUACAGUCUGGUGAUCUGUUGGCCUAUAUACAGUUAAUGAGAAGAAAUAGCUGGUAUUUGCCUGCUUCCGUCGUUUAUGUUACAUAAUUGUUUAUCAGUCUGG
Molecule: non-coding RNA, 282 nt
Organism: Paramuricea clavata
Lineage: Eukaryota; Metazoa; Cnidaria; Anthozoa; Malacalcyonacea; Plexauridae
Source: the annotation of a GenBank genome assembly